Molecule: ribosomal RNA, 1243 nt
Filed under: metagenome
Description: bacterial LSU rRNA
Rfam family: Bacterial large subunit ribosomal RNA
Source: RNAcentral
UGAAUACGAGACGCUAAGGCGUCGAAGUAGUGUAUGUCAUACUUCCAAGAAAAGCUUGCACUGUCAUAGAUAAAAAACGCCUGUACCAUAACCGACACAGGUGGGUAGGUAGAGUAUACUAAGGGGCGCGAGAUAACUCUCUCUAAGGAACUCGGCAAAAUAACUCCGUAACUUCGGGAGAAGGAGUGCCUUAUUCGUAAGGUUGCAAUAACAAGAUCCAAGCAACUGUUUAUCAAAAACACAGGUCUCCGCUAAGUCGUAAGACGAUGUAUGGGGGCUGACGCCUGCCCAGUGCCAGAAGGUUAAAGAAGUUGGUUAGCAAUUGCGAAGCUGAUAACUGAAGCCCUGGUGAACGGCGGCCGUAACAAUAACGGUCCUAAGGUAGCGAAAUUCCUUGUCGGGUAAGUUCCGACCCGCACGAAAGGCGUAAUGAUUUGGAUACUGUCUCGGAGAGGGGCUCGGUGAAAUAGACUUGUCUGUGAAGAUGCGGACUACCUGCACCAGGACAGAAAGACCCUAUGAAGCUUUACUGUAACUUGAAAUUGAAAUUGGACUUUAUUCGCGCAGUAUAGGUGGGAGGCGUUGAUUAUAAUCUUGUGGGAUUAUUGGAGCCAUCAGUGAGAUACCACUCUUGUAAUGUUAGAUUUCUAACUUUGAAUCAUUAUCUGGUCAAAGAACAGUUUCAGGCGGGCAGUUUGACUGGGGCGGUCGCCUCCUAAACGGUAACGGAGGCGUACAAAGGUUUCCUCUGAACGGUUAGAAAUCGUAUCUAGAGUGUAAAGGCAUAAGGAAGCUUGACUGUGAGACCUACAAGUCGAGCAGGGACGAAAGUCGGUCUUAGUGAUCUGACGGUACUGAGUGGAAAGGCCGUCACUCAACGGAUAAAAGUUACUCUAGGAUAACAGGCUGAUCUCCCCCAAGAGUUCACAUCGACGGGGAGGUUUGGCACCUCGAUGUCGGCUCAUCGCAUCCUGGGGCGGUAGUACGUCCCAAGGGUUGGGCUGUUCGCCCAUGAAGGCGGUACGCGAGCUGGGUUCAGAACGUCGUGAGACAGUUCGGUCCAUAUCCGGUGUAGGCGUUAGAAUAUUGAGAGGAGCCUUCUUUAGUACGAGAGGACCGAGAAGGACAUACCUCUGGUGUACCAGUUAUCGUGCCAACGGUAAACGCUGGGUAGCUAAGUAUGGAGUGGAUAACCGCUGAAAGCAUCUAAGUGGGAAGCCCACCUCAAGAUAAGUAUUCUCAU